CCCUCUUCCUUCUCUCUCGAUUCUCCUCGAUCAGACGCCGUUUGGCCACACGCUUCGACUCAUCUAACACCACUGAUAGGCAGGAUAGGGAACAGAUGCGCUGCUAAACUAAUAUCACCUCCAACAUGAAACGAGACAAUGUUGGAGUAAGAUGGAUGGAGAUUUUUCUGGAUGGUCCUGCGGAAGAAACCCUGGGGAAAGGAAAGGAGGACAAAGAAAAAAAACAGCGAUUGAGGGACAUUUGCAACUCUAUAUCCUUGAAAUGAAAUCCACUAAUUAAAUGUUCUUAUGUUUUGAUUAGCGUAAAACAAGCGCAUUAAAUGGGUCACAUUACACGGCAGGCUUGUGAAUGUGUGACAGGACCCUGCUUACCAAGAAGUAAUGAAGUGAUGGCAUGACUGAAUGUCUCUCAGUAACUGCUUUUAUACAAGAUCACUGUGGAGCAGUUUGUUUAGCAUCACACUGCUGAAGUGGCAUACAAAGACAUGAUUUUGAGCAAAGAAGUAUCAGGGAGGCAGGUGAAAAGUUGCUCUGCUAUUUGGCAAAAUAGUAUAUACCAUUGCAAUAACACUUGUAGUUUUGUGUAUGCCUUGAGGGAAAACACAAAUUAUUCAUGCUAUUCAGCACCACACUGGGAUUUCAAUAUCCCUCCUUUCCCAUGUGGGUACAGCAGGAUGGUACAAGAAUAGCUGAGGCCAUUUUUAGAGACCAUGGAUAGGCUGCUCUACGGGACACCAUUCAUUGGAUAACAGACCUCUGCUCAACGGAUACUAACACCCACACUUGCCAUCAAGAGGCUUCCUGCCAUAACAUUACAGUGUAGUAUGAAUUAAUGUUUAAAAGGAAAAUAAUAUAAUGUUACCCCUGCUGCCUCUCUUUGAGUCACAUUUGUGAUUACAGUGCCCAGCUAUUGUAGGAAAUGACUAAACCUUUUUUGAAUUUAAACUAUUGUGGGGCACAAUGAGAGUGAAUGGCAGGAACAUCAAUCGGGUAAACUUCUGUUCUCUCCUCUCCAAGUUUGAUGUCAGCAAAUGACAGUAUUGUCAAGUUGAUGAGCUAGCUUGCAGUGCAACUCUUUCUAAUCUGUCAGUUUCGCUAGCCUAGCUGGGGUAGUACAUCUCUUGGUCUGUGUGUGUUUUGUUUGCUUGCCCGCCACUCUCAGGGCUGUGUUCUGUGACUUUGUCAAAAGUGAGGGUGAAAUACAGCUAUUUAG
Lates calcarifer (barramundi perch) is the source of this 1213-nucleotide long non-coding RNA. RefSeq lists it as uncharacterized. NCBI's taxonomy places the organism in Eukaryota, Metazoa, Chordata, Actinopteri, Centropomidae. The transcript is spliced from 3 exons. The record is from RefSeq and is a predicted model, not a curated record.